AGUAGUUUUAUUCUUGCUAUAUUAUUCAUUUUUUAUUUGCUUUAUAUGUAAGUUUUUGCGUGAUUUUUCUGUAUCUAUAUGGUUGUGUUUUAGUUAGUUUAUUCGCAUUAUUUACUUUUAUAUAUUUAGGUAACUUAGAUUUAGUAAUAAUUUAUUGUAUCGGUUAAAUUUGUGCCAGCAGCCGCGGUUAUACAUAGGAUACUGGUGAAUAUAUUUGGUUGUAUGUAGUUUUAUUUAUAUUAUUGAAUUUAAUUUAUUUAUUUUUUGGUGAAAUUCUUAAUUUUUGAUUAUUUUUGUUUAUUUGUUUGUAGGCUAUUAAAUCUUUGUUUAAACUAGGAUUAGAUACCCUAUUAUUUUAGAUGUAAAUUUAUUUUUCCUGAGUAGUAUUAGUUAUGUUCUUUAAACUUAAAGAAUUUGGCGGUAUUUCAAUCUAUUCAGAGGAACCUGCUUCGUUAUCGAUAAUCCGCGUUGGACCUUACUUAAUUUUUUGUUUGUAUAUCGCCGUUGGUGUUGAGAAUCUUUUUAGGGUUUAUAAUUCUCUAUAUUUACGAUUAAUGAUUAAUAUCAGGUCAAGGUGCAGCUUUAUUAUUAAGUGUUUAGUGGGUUACAUUUAUAUUUAUUAUUGGAGUGCUGGUUGUAAUUAUUAGUAUGAAAGUGGAUUUGAUUGUAAUUUGUUGAAGAUUGUUUUUAUGAUUUUAGUUCUGGGAUAUGUACACAUCGCCCGUCGCUCUCGUUUAUUUGAGGUGAGAUAAGUCGUAACAUAGUGGCUGUACCGGAAGGUGCGGCUAGAAUGAU
Molecule: non-coding RNA, 795 nt
Filed under: Hodotermopsis sjostedti
Lineage: Eukaryota; Metazoa; Arthropoda; Insecta; Blattodea; Termopsidae
Source: RNAcentral